GACAGACAUUAAGCCAUAAGCGAAAGCUUGACUUAGCUAGGGCUAAAAGAGCCGGUAAAACUCGUGCCAGCAACCGCGGUUAUACGAGAGGCCCAAAUUGACGCACCACGGCGUAAAGUGUGAUUAGAGACAAACAAGAACUAGAGCCGAACGCCCCUUAUGCUGUCAUACGCUACGGGGGACACGAAGCCCGACAACGAAAGUGGCCCUAUAAACCUUGAACUCACGACAGCUAGGAUACAAACUGGGAUUAGAUACCCCACUAUGCUUAGCCUUAAACCAAGGUGAUAAACCUACAACCUUCACCCGCCAGGGAACUACGAGCCCCAGCUUAAAACCCAAGGGACUUGGCGGUGCCUCAAACCCACCUAGAGGAGCCUGUCCUAUAACCGAUAAUCCCCGUUAAACCUCACCCCUUCUUGCCAAUUCCGCCUAUAUACCGCCGUCGCCAGUUUACCUUGUGAAGGAACAACAGUAAGCAAAACGGGCAAUGCCCAACACGUCAGGUCGAGGUGUAGCGAAUGGAGGGGGAAGAGAUGGGCUACAUUUUCUGGUAACAGAAUAAUACGAACGGCACAAUGAAAGAUGUGCAGCCGAAGGUGGAUUUAGCAGUAAAAGGGGAAAAGAGAGCCCUUUUGAAACCGGCCCUGAGGCGCGUACACACCGCCCGUCACUCUCCUCGAGAACCGAAAUGACAAUACAUAAAAACUUAGGAAAAUAGAGAGGAGGCAA
RNAcentral lists this ribosomal RNA (732 nucleotides) under Muraena helena (Mediterranean moray). RNAcentral's name for it is "partial 12S ribosomal RNA". It matches the Rfam family "Bacterial small subunit ribosomal RNA", at positions 356 to 1484 of the family's 1533-position model. Lineage: Eukaryota; Metazoa; Chordata; Actinopteri; Anguilliformes; Muraenidae. The record is from RNAcentral.